UUCCAUUCCAUUAGCAUCAGUGAUACUUUUAAUGGGUGUGGAAGGCCGUGAGAACUGGAAGCUGUUCUGCCACUAUCAAAGGGGGCUCACCUGAUUUGGAAAAGUGAGCACUGGCAACACCCAUGCCCAACCGUGUUGUCAGUGGAAGUGAUCAUCUUGGACACAAGGUGAGUAAGAAAAUCUAACAGCUUUACUAACUAGAGGCUGCAGUCAUGGUUGGGAUAAACAUAACUCUGGAAUGGAGGCCCAAGCUAGCUACACACUUCUGGCAAACCCUGAGGCUGCACACAUGGUAACAUACUUCUCAGAAGCAGAUUUUGAUAAGAUGUGAAAGGGCCCAGAAGAAAGUAAAGUCUGCACAGCCUGCACUUUGAAGAAAAAGGAAUCCACAUCUAGAUAUAUCAUAAGCCAAUCACUGAAAACAAAAUACAAAGAGAAAAUCUUAAAAGCAACAAGAGAAAGAAAAAAACUCAUAACAUAUAGGUGAGCAUCAAUAUAAUUAAGGCUGACUUCAUAAUAAACAAUGAAGGCUAGAAUUACAUAUUCAAAGCGAUAAAAGAAAAAAAUUAGCCAACAGAAGAAGACACAUAGACAUUGCACUCAGCCCAAUUCUCGCAUGGCUUCCUUAAAAAGUUUUCCUUUUAAAACCCCUGCCUCUCCCACAAAAAAUCAAAGUGAUUAAUUUGGAUAAGAAUCUGGCUACUUCCCGUUUACUAGUUUUGGUUAAUAGUCACUUUCUUUCUACCAGAUGUUGCUCUUGUUAAUUGCACUCUGCAAGUGGUAAGCAUCUGGACCUGCAUUUCAUUACAAAACUACCAAAACAGAAUUCUAUAUCCAGUGAAACUAUCCUUCAAAAAUGAAGGCUAAAUAAGGAUGUUCCCAGAUUAAUAAAGACUGAGAGAAUUUGCUGUUAGCAAAUCUACCUUCUAAGAAAUACUAAAGGAAGACCUUCAAUGCUGAAAGGAAAUGACACCAGAUCCAGAACUACGGGAAGAAAUGUAGAGCAACGGAAAAGGGCUGGGCCAUACAGUAUGUACUCAAGAUUUAGUAGUUAAUUGACUGAUUGAACUUUAUAGUGGCUAAUACAAUGCUCUCUUACAAUGCUCUCCACAAGAGAAGUACAGAUACAAUAUUACGGAAAUUCAGAGGAGAGAAAUUACUAACAACUUGAGCAGGUGGAAAAGCAUUGAAGCUUGGUAGAGAAGAUGGUGGAACUGUGCAGCAUUGAGACAUGUCCAGUUGGAGAGAUAUGAAGCUGGGUGAAAGUAGUACAAGAGGAGGCAACUGAAUGUACAACGGCAAAGAGAAAGAAGAAUCAGUGGAUGUGCAGAGGAAAGAGUGUGCAGGGAGGUAUGACUCAUCAAGAGGGAGCUAAAGGAUACAAAGACAGCAAACGCAGGUUAAAUUUCCUGGUGUGGGGGUGGUGGGAAUGAUAGUGGCUUGAACUACCCUACUAUAAAGUUUGGAUUUCAUCCUGUGGGUAACAGAAUGACUGAAGGUUUUUGGAGAAGGAUAUGGUGUGAUCAGAGCUGUGCUUUAGAAAGAUUAAGCUGGUGUAGAAAAAGGUUGAGAGAAGGGAAGGGAAAGAAAAGACUAAUUAGGAGGUUGUUUAAUCGUCCAGGCAAGAGGUAACUUGGGCUAGAACCAGGGAAGAGGAAGUGGGGAAUGCAAAGUAGGGGCAGACCCAAGAGAAAUUUCAGGAGGAAGCAGAAAGGAGGAUUUGAUAAUCUCUUACAUCCCUCCUCUUCUCAGGCUAGGACACAGCUCAGUAUUCAAUGCUCUCUACAAUCUGCCCCAACUACUUUGUCCAGAUUUACCUUUCCCUAAGCAUGUCAUAUGCCUCAUUCUCCAAACUGCACUGGAUCACAUUCUUUUCUUCAAAGACAAUCUGUACUUUUCCACUUACUCUCCUUUUCUUCAAGGAUAAUCUAUCUGUACUUUUCCACUUACUCUCCUUAUCUCCAAAUAUACAAAUCUAACCUACCCUUAAAAGUCCACCUCAAGUGCCAUCUCUUCCAUCAAAUGUUCCUGACUCUCCUCCAGCCAUAAUUAACUUCUCGCUCCUCUGUUCAUCCACUUACGCUUUGUGGGACAUGGUAAAUACUUCAGCUUUUUCUCCAAGUUCAGUAGAAAUCCACUUAAGACUUUUAAGCAGCAGAGUAAUAUGAUUUGAUUUACAUUUUUAAACAACCAUUUCUAUUGCUCUUUGGGUAAACUAGGUAUAGGAAUGUUGAAUCAAGACCAGGUAGGAAGCUAUUGCCCUAGUUCAAGCAAGAGAUGAUGGUGACCUGACUAAGCAAAUGGCAAUAUAUAUGAAGA
Long non-coding RNA from Homo sapiens (human), 2319 nucleotides. RefSeq lists it as uncharacterized. The record is from RefSeq and is a predicted model, not a curated record. The transcript has 4 exons. NCBI's taxonomy places the organism in Eukaryota, Metazoa, Chordata, Mammalia, Primates, Hominidae.